GGGAGCGCGUCUGCCAUUGGUCUGUUGCUCUUGUGGGCGUAGUUUCUCACGCAUACAUAAGCUCACAGGCAGGACCGCCAGGGCGUUGCUGGAGUCAGUCCUCAGAGUUGAUCCGUGCCUGUCAGAUCCGGCAAAAUGCGUCUCUUUCUGGUAGUGUUCCUGGUCUUUGCGGUUCUUCUGGGACAGCUGUCCCAAGGGGAAGCGGUAGCAAGCAGACCAAGACCAAGACCAACACAGUGCUGCCCUCCCCAUUGCCCCUGCUGUGAUCCACACAAACCUUGUACUUGCUUCGUCCCGUGUCCACCGAAAUAUUAGACUGCUGUCCAGUGAUGUCAAUAGCUGUAUAUGGAAGUUCCCUCUUGAGGUGAUUUUGAAACUACCAAUGGAAACGAGGUGUUUGUUUGUCAAAUAAUCAAGAGAUUUAACACUUGAA
Molecule: long non-coding RNA, 433 nt
Organism: Macrobrachium nipponense
Lineage: Eukaryota; Metazoa; Arthropoda; Malacostraca; Decapoda; Palaemonidae
Exons: 4
Source: RefSeq, a predicted model, not a curated record